This 353-nucleotide unclassified non-coding RNA is filed under the name soil metagenome. RNAcentral's name for it is "partial contains 5.8S ribosomal RNA, internal transcribed spacer 2, and large subunit ribosomal RNA". The stretch from base 1 to 120 matches the Rfam family "5.8S ribosomal RNA", at positions 35 to 154 of the family's 154-position model. The record is from RNAcentral.
GAUGAAGAACGCAGCGAAAUGCGAUAAGUAAUGUGAAUUGCAGAAUUCAGUGAAUCAUCGAAUCUUUGAACGCACAUUGCGCCCGCCAGUAUUCUGGCGGGUAUGCCUGUUCGAGCGUCAUUACAACCCUCAGGCCCCCGGGCCUGGCGUUGGGGAUCGGCGGAAGCCCCCUGCGGGCACAACGCCGUCCCCCAAAUACAGUGGCGGUCCCGCCGCAGCUUCCAUUGCGUAGUAGCUAACACCUCGCAACUGGAGAGCGGCGCGGCCACGCCGUAAAACACCCAACUUCUGAAUGUUGACCUCGAAUCAGGUAGGAAUACCCGCUGAACUUAAGCAUAUCAAUAAGCGGAGGA